GCCGAGCUAGCUCAGUUGGUAGAGCAAUGCUUUCGUAAAGCAUAGGUCGUCGGUUCGAGCCCGAUGCUCGGCU
This 73-nucleotide transfer RNA is filed under the name Verrucomicrobia bacterium IMCC26134. It matches the Rfam family "tRNA". From Rfam's summary of the family: Transfer RNA (tRNA) molecules are approximately 80 nucleotides in length. Their secondary structure includes four short double-helical elements and three loops (D, anti-codon, and T loops). Lineage: Bacteria; Pseudomonadati; Verrucomicrobiota. The record is from Rfam by way of RNAcentral.